RNAcentral lists this small nuclear RNA (109 nucleotides) under Chinchilla lanigera (long-tailed chinchilla). RNAcentral describes it as "U5 spliceosomal RNA (ENSCLAG00000020286.1)". It matches the Rfam family "U5 spliceosomal RNA". From Rfam's summary of the family: U5 RNA is a component of both types of known spliceosome. The precise function of this molecule is unknown, though it is known that the 5' loop is required for splice site selection and p220 binding, and that both the 3' stem-loop and the Sm site are important for Sm protein binding and cap methylation. Lineage: Eukaryota; Metazoa; Chordata; Mammalia; Rodentia; Chinchillidae. The record is from RNAcentral.
AGGGUUUCUCUUCAGAUCGUAUAAAUCUUUGUCUUUUACUAAAGAUUUCCAUGGAGAGGAACAACUCUGAGUCUUGAGCCAUAUUUUGAGGCCUUGUUUUGGCAAGGCU